CAGCCGCCGCGGGAACACGAAGGGGGCUAGCGUUGUUCGGAAUUACUGGGCGUAAAGCGCACGUAGGCGGAUAUUUAAGUCAGGGGUGAAAUCCAGAGCUCAACUCUGGAACUGCCUUUGAUACUGGGUAUCUUGAGUAUGGAAGAGGUGAGUGGAAUUCCGAGUGUAGAGGUGAAAUUCGUAGAUAUUCGGAGGAACACCAGUGGCGAAGGCGGCUCACUGGUCCAUUACUGACGCUGAGGUGCGAAAGCGUGGGGAGCAAACAGGAUUAGAUACCCCUGUAGCCCUGUCUCUUAUACAC
This 301-nucleotide ribosomal RNA is filed under the name uncultured bacterium. Its description in RNAcentral is "partial 16S ribosomal RNA". It matches the Rfam family "Bacterial small subunit ribosomal RNA", at positions 509 to 810 of the family's 1533-position model. The record is from RNAcentral.